AACGAACGCUGGCGGCAUGCCUAACACAUGCAAGUCGAACGAGACCUUCGGGUCUAGUGGCGCACGGGUGCGUAACGCGUGGGAAUCUGCCCUUGGGUUCGGAAUAACAGUUAGAAAUGACUGCUAAUACCGGAUGAUGUCUUCGGACCAAAGAUUUAUCGCCCAGGGAUGAGCCCGCGUAGGAUUAGCUAGUUGGUGGGGUAAAGGCCUACCAAGGCGACGAUCCUUAGCUGGUCUGAGAGGAUGAUCAGCCACACUGGGACUGAGACACGGCCCAGACUCCUACGGGAGGCAGCAGUGGGGAAUAUUGGACAAUGGGCGAAAGCCUGAUCCAGCAAUGCCGCGUGAGUGAUGAAGGCCUUAGGUGUAAGCUCUUUACCCGGGAUGAUAAUGACAGUACCGGGAGAAUAAGCCCCGGCUAACUCCGUGCCAGCAGCCGCGGUAAU
Molecule: ribosomal RNA, 446 nt
Filed under: uncultured bacterium
Lineage: Bacteria
Description: bacterial SSU rRNA
Rfam family: Bacterial small subunit ribosomal RNA
Source: RNAcentral